AGAUUUUCAAAGCUAAUAUACAGUCUAACCUAACCUAACUUAUCCAAUUAUAUUAGGAAGUGAAUAGAUAAAAAUGAAACGUUUUUGUGUUUUAUUAUCAUUUGUUGUUGUAAAUGUUUUAGCAGAUACAAAUGAACUUAUAGAUAUCUGGUGGAGUGCGGUGGUUAACACAAAUAAACAAAUCCAGCGAGUGCAAUGUCGUGAUGUGCGUUUGAUACCGGUAAUUAAACAUUUUGUUGCUGGAGAUAAAUCGAUGACGGAUUUGUCGUUGAUGUUUAGUGGACCAUCUAAAAUAGGUGGCCCCAAUUCCAACUAUGAAACACUGCAACAUAGCUUAGAUUUAGAAAUUGAAUUACAAACAGCCAUAACUACCUUGUUAGGUGUUCCUGUCCCUGAAGAAGGUAGAGGUCUAUUACGUACUGCAAUGAAAAAAGUGGGUUGUGCAUGUGGUUCGACUGAUUAUAAAAAUACGCAUAGUAUGAAAAUUAUGAAUGAGAGAAAAAACCUAUUUCGUGAUGCUACAAAACUGUCUAUCAUUUCUACAUUAAGACCAGACCAUGAAGAUUUCGGAAAUUGUAACCUGAUGUGUCGGUUGAAAGGUCUGUACAGAAGUAUAAUAACUGACUUCUAUAGAUAUUUGGUAAUAAAAGCUGAAGUUAUUGGUGAUCAGUGUCGUCUGACUCGUCCUGACAGAAAAACAAUCACCUUCAAUUGCUUUGGAGACUUAAAGGAUCACAUUCGGGAUGACAAUUGGGAAUUCAUUUCCGAUUAUUAAUCAUGUACAUUAAAUUCUUUUGAGAAAAACAUGUUAAGCAAUUUGUAGACCUUAGAAAUAAAAAAAAUAUUCUUGAUAAUGUUAAGACGAAACAUCAUUUGGUUUUGGUAACGAUACAAUAGAUAGGCAAAACAAGUAUAUGCAUGUAAACUAUAAAGAAGAACAGGAAUGAAACUUUUUUAUAAUAACAACUGACUGAAGUGAAAAAAUAUUCUAUUUGUGACUUGAUUGAAUAAAAUAUAAACACAUUUAAUGGUAUUAAUUAAUUUCUGCGACGAGUCACAAACCAAUCACUUUAAAAAGGCGGUUUUAACAAAUAAGUUCACAAGAGUUCAUCCAGAAAUUCA
Molecule: RNA transcript, 1122 nt
Organism: Adelges cooleyi (spruce gall adelgid)
Lineage: Eukaryota; Metazoa; Arthropoda; Insecta; Hemiptera; Adelgidae
Exons: 14
Source: RefSeq, a predicted model, not a curated record